This 335-nucleotide unclassified non-coding RNA is filed under the name soil metagenome. RNAcentral describes it as "partial contains 5.8S ribosomal RNA, internal transcribed spacer 2, and large subunit ribosomal RNA". The stretch from base 1 to 120 matches the Rfam family "5.8S ribosomal RNA", at positions 35 to 154 of the family's 154-position model. The record is from RNAcentral.
GAUGAAGAACGUAGCGAAAUGCGAUGAGUAAUGUGAAUUGCAGAAUUCAGUGAAUCAUCGAAUCUUUGAACGCACAUUGCGCCUGCCAGUAUUCUGGCGGGCAUGCCUGUUCGAGCGUCAUUUCAACCAUCAAGCCCCCGGCUUGUGUUGGGGACCUGCGGCUGCCGCAGGCCCUGAAAACCAGUGGCGGGCUCGCUAGUCACUCCGAGCGUAGUAAUACAUCUCGCUCAGGGCGUGCUGCGGGUUCCGGCCGUUAAAAAGCCUUAUUUACCCAAGGUUGACCUCGGAUCAGGUAGGAAGACCCGCUGAACUUAAGCAUAUCAAUAAGCGGAGGA